RNAcentral lists this ribosomal RNA (175 nucleotides) under uncultured bacterium. RNAcentral describes it as "partial 16S ribosomal RNA". It matches the Rfam family "Bacterial small subunit ribosomal RNA", at positions 118 to 291 of the family's 1533-position model. The record is from RNAcentral.
UGAAGAAUUUGCCCAACGGUGGGGGAUAGCCGGCCCAACGGCCGGGUAAUACCGCGUACGCCCUUCGAGCGGCAUCGCUUGAUGGGGAAAGUCGCAAGACGCCGAUGGAGAACUUCGCGGCCUAUCAGCUAGUUGGUGAGGUCAUGGCUCACCAAGGCGACGACGGGUANCUGGU